This 434-nucleotide ribosomal RNA is filed under the name uncultured bacterium. RNAcentral describes it as "partial 16S ribosomal RNA". It matches the Rfam family "Bacterial small subunit ribosomal RNA", at positions 29 to 507 of the family's 1533-position model. The record is from RNAcentral.
AGCGAACGCUGGCGGCAGGCCUAACACAUGCAAGUCGAACGAACCUUUCGGGGUUAGUGGCGGACGGGUGAGUAACACGUGGGAACGUGCCUUUAGGUUCGGAAUAACUCAGGGAAACUUGUGCUAAUACCGAAUGUGCCCUUGCGGGGAAAGAUUCAUCGCCUUUAGAGCGGCCCGCGUCUGAUUAGCUAGUUGGUUGAGGUAAUGGCUCACCAAGGCGACGAUCAGUAGCUGGUCUGAGAGGAUGAUCAGCCACAUUGGGACUGAGACACGGCCCAAACUCCUACGGGAGGCAGCAGUGGGGAAUCUUGCGCAAUGGGCGAAAGCAUGACGCAGCCAUGCCGCGUGAAUGAUGAAGGUCUUAGGAUUGUAAAAUUCUUUCACCGGGGACGAUAAUGACGGUACCCGGAGAAGAAGCCCCGGCUAACUUCGUG